GAAAGGCGCGCGAUACAGGGUGACAGCCCCGUACACAAAAAUGCACAUGCUGUGAGCUCGAUGAGUAGGGCGGGACACGUGGUAUCCUGUCUGAAUAUGGGGGGACCAUCCUCCAAGGCUAAAUACUCCUGACUGACCGAUAGUGAACCAGUACCGUGAGGGAAAGGCGAAAAGAACCCCGGCGAGGGGAGUGAAAAAGAACCUGAAACCGUGUACGUACAAGCAGUGGGAGCACGCUUAGGCGUGUGACUGCGUACCUUUUGUAUAAUGGGUCAGCGACUUAUAUUCUGUAGCAAGGUUAACCGAAUAGGGGAGCCGAAGGGAAACCGAGUCUUAACUGGGCGUUAAGUUGCAGGGUAUAGACCCGAAACCCGGUGAUCUAGCCAUGGGCAGGUUGAAGGUUGGGUAACACUAACUGGAGGACCGAACCGACUAAUGUUGAAAAAUUAGCGGAUGACUUGUGGCUGGGGGUGAAAGGCCAAUCAAACCGGGAGAUAGCUGGUUCUCCCCGAAAGCUAUUUAGGUAGCGCCUCGUGAAUUCAUCUCCGGGGGUAGAGCACUGUUUCGGCAAGGGGGUCAUCCCGACUUACCAACCCGAUGCAAACUGCGAAUACCGGAGAAUGUUAUCACGGGAGACACACGGCGGGUGCUAACGUCCGUCGUGAAGAGGGAAACAACCCAGACCGCCAGCUAAGGUCCCAAAGUCAUGGUUAAGUGGGAAACGAUGUGGGAAGGCCCAGACAGCCAGGAUGUUGGCUUAGAAGCAGCCAUCAUUUAAAGAAAGCGUAAUAGCUCACUGGUCGAGUCGGCCUGCGCGGAAGAUGUAACGGGGCUAAACCAUGCAC
This 845-nucleotide ribosomal RNA is filed under the name Escherichia coli. RNAcentral's name for it is "partial 23S ribosomal RNA". It matches the Rfam family "Bacterial large subunit ribosomal RNA", at positions 345 to 1194 of the family's 2925-position model. Lineage: Bacteria; Pseudomonadati; Pseudomonadota; Gammaproteobacteria; Enterobacterales; Enterobacteriaceae. The record is from RNAcentral.